RNAcentral lists this long non-coding RNA (1001 nucleotides) under Lactuca sativa (garden lettuce). Its description in RNAcentral is "long non-coding RNA (LSAT_LNC002314)". The record is from RNAcentral. Lineage: Eukaryota; Viridiplantae; Streptophyta; Magnoliopsida; Asterales; Asteraceae.
GAAAAGAGUAUCGUGUAAAAAGUGUGAAGAUCCGUAAGUAUGCUUGUUUGUUUCUAUAAAUGUAAAAAAAAUUGUUAGACCUGGUAUGCAUCUUGUAGGUGUAUGAAUUGAAAACCCUAGGAAAACCCGAUGUUUUCCUAAUACUUUGAAUUACGCGUUUUAUAUUUUGUUAUACCGUUGUGACGUGUGUAUUCGAUAAUUCCAGGUGACAUUGGAUUAAUUAUGGGUUGUGAUUUGUUAUAAACACGCAUUAAUGAAAACGACUAGUUUACAACUAUACGAACGGUCCCUUNUAUAUUUUGUUAUACCGUUGUGACGUGUGUAUUCGAUAAUUCCAGGUGACAUUGGAUUAAUUAUGGGUUGUGAUUUGUUAUAAACACGCAUUAAUGAAAACGACUAGUUUACAACUAUACAAACGGUCCCUUAGGCGUCGUCUGUACUAUUCACUUAAUCCAACCACCCUAACUUCUCAUAGCCCCAUAACCGAGGAGAAAAGAGGGUGCGAAGCCCCCGCUAUUUCCAUAAGUCGUUCAAGGCUAUCGUGAAUGCGAAAGGCCCUUGGCCCGAAUCGCAUUGGUGAAUUCUCGACUUUGCUAGCAGUACCAAAAGACCCUUGGGGUCCAACAGCACAAAAGCCAGUGAAAGUCCUUUUACAUGGAUUUAGGUCAUAUAAGACCCAACAACAUGUAAGCGAGUUUCCUUCGGGCCUAAAGAUCAUGUCAUUGGGCUAGCUAGGCCCAACAAACACGAUUUGAAACUUUCGGGCCCAAAGAUGGUGUAUCGACAUCUGGUGAAUUCCCACGUGUGUAUUGACCUCCCGUAAUUUCAGCGUGUGUAUUGUAGUAUCGUCGUGUAUAGAUUUUUGAUUCAUUAUUGAUUCGAGACCGAAUCGAUUCAUUUGGUAAUGAUUUUUGGUGUUGAAGGUGUAUUAUGUUUCGUCAGUAGUCGUGGUACUAGUAUUUCAUCAUGACGGAUUUACUGUUUAAAACCUUAGAAUUUUA